UAGGCGGAAUGUUGCGUUAAGGGAGAGGUCGUUGUUAAACCCCACGGCCACGCGAUCGCUAAGUCCUGCCACGAGUGGCGUUCCCGACGAAAGGAGGGAUUGUGGCGCCAUGGAGGGUGACAGUCCCGUGUGGACGCGUGUGCGAUUGCCGUGCUAGGGUGAGGCCUUUCUCCCUGUGAGUCGCGUUGCUUGCACAUGCAGCGCUAAGCAGGUCGUAAACUCGAUCUAAGGCUAAAUAUAUCCACAGAACCGAUAGUGAACAAGUACCGUAAGGGAAAGUUGAAAAGAACUCUGGAGAGAGAGUCAAAAGACCGU
This 315-nucleotide ribosomal RNA is filed under the name Parhyale hawaiensis. Its description in RNAcentral is "eukaryotic LSU rRNA". It matches the Rfam family "Eukaryotic large subunit ribosomal RNA", at positions 135 to 400 of the family's 3401-position model. Lineage: Eukaryota; Metazoa; Arthropoda; Malacostraca; Amphipoda; Hyalidae. The record is from RNAcentral.